UGUAGCUGGUGAUGCUGUUUGUGUAGUCUUAGCAUCGGAAACAACUGAGUCUCAUCACUAUUUAGAGUACUCUGUUGAUCUGUUCUUGUAUGUUAACGUCCAACUCAUUCAGUUUCCCAUCCUUCCCCUGAGUUUUGAUAGCAAAUGUUUUUUUUAGUGUUCUUGUAUCUUUUGCUGUCAGGAAGUAGAUUGGCCCUUUUUUGAUGCUUCGACUAUGCCCUAUAAUAUAAUUGGAAGAGAGCAAGGGAGAAGAGAAGUGAAAGUCAAAGCACAAGAUCUUGUACAACUAAUGUUAAAUCUCCUUAAGGAACUAAAUGAGUUUGAAUAAUAGGUGCAGCAACCAGAUCUGAAUGGAAAUAUGCAUCUCGACGCUAAGUAUGGGCCCCGUGGAGCACAUUGAGGUAUGCCAAUCAUUUAGCACCACUAACCUUCUGUUGUGCCAAUGGAUAUGGUAGGCAUGAUUUUGUUCCCCACUAAAGGCCGACGAGAAGCACUCGCGGAGUCCUGACACAUAGGCCCAAGGUUUUCAGGAAUGAUUUUCACACUGGAUGGCCUGUGGAAUGGAGCAAGCUCUUGCUCCAUUGCCCGGCAUGCAGGCCCAUCGAGCACCGGCCACUAGAAAUUGUUUCACGGUAGGCCCUCCUCUGCUGGAUGGAAGUUUCUUUCAGCGCCGAAAAGGGUGAGCGCCUGGCCGUUGCGUUUGCAUGGCCAGUGCACACUCUCUGUCUGCACUGCAUAGUUGACUUGCGUGCCUUGUUAUUACAAUACUGAAAGGAAAUAAAGGCCCUAGCAAGAUGAGCGAGUUGCCGGGCAUUUCCCACUGAUUUUGAUUUCCUGACAAGGACAUUUUGGGUGAAGGGCGUAGAAAACACACCGCGCACUUCACACAUCUGCUUUUAAAUAAAUAUAUGAUUCACGUUCUCUA
Hordeum vulgare subsp. vulgare (domesticated barley) is the source of this 925-nucleotide long non-coding RNA. RefSeq lists it as uncharacterized. The transcript is spliced from 4 exons. The record is from RefSeq and is a predicted model, not a curated record. NCBI's taxonomy places the organism in Eukaryota, Viridiplantae, Streptophyta, Magnoliopsida, Poales, Poaceae.